Molecule: ribosomal RNA, 497 nt
Filed under: uncultured bacterium
Lineage: Bacteria
Description: partial 16S ribosomal RNA
Rfam family: Bacterial small subunit ribosomal RNA
Source: RNAcentral
GAUGAACGCUGGCGGCGUGCCUAAUACAUGCAAGUCGAGCGAACAGACGAUGAGCUUGCUCCUCUGACGUUAGCGGUGGACGGGUGAGUAACACGUGUAUAACCUCCCUAUCAGACUGGGAUAACUUCGGGAAACCGGCGCUAAUACCGGAUAAUAUAUUGCACCGCAUUGUUCAAUAGUGAAAUACGGUUUUUCUGUCACUUAUCGAUGCAUCCGCGCGGCAUUAGCUAGUUGUUAAGGUCACGGCUUACCACGGCGACGAUGCGUAGCCGACCUGAGAGAGGGAUCGGCCACACUGGAACUGAGACACGGUCCAGAGGACUAAGGGAGGCAGCAGUAGGGAAUCGUACGCAAUGGGGGAAAGCAUGACGGAGCAAGGCGGCGUGAGUGAUGAAGGUGUUCGGAUCGUAAAACUCUGUUAUUAGGGAAGAACAAAUGUGUAAGUAACUAAGCACGUAGUGACGGUACCUAAUCAGAAAGCCACGGCUAACUACGUG